This 938-nucleotide long non-coding RNA is filed under the name Fukomys damarensis (Damara mole-rat). RNAcentral's name for it is "lncRNA (ENSFDAG00000032720.1)". The record is from RNAcentral. Lineage: Eukaryota; Metazoa; Chordata; Mammalia; Rodentia; Bathyergidae.
AGUGAAGUGCUUUCCUCACUCUGUUACAGACAUACAACAUGAAGUUGGGCCACCCUUUAACUGACUAUGGAUCUUACAACUAUAUCUGCAAAGUGGAGGAGCUUGAACAGUCUUCUGUAAGCUUUUCUGGAUGUGCUGUUGAUCGAUCCCACCCACCUGGCUCAUUCAGCAUGAGAGAGGUGAUGAAAUGGAUGGAAGAAAACCACCAGCCUGCCCAUGUGAAAAUAUGAGAACUGGGAAUUCAUUUUGGAAUAUUGUUGGAGUCUGGCGUGUGAGUACUUCCCUCCCUGGUAAAGUCUCCAAAUAUCUGAGAGAUUCUUCCAAUCCUCUGCCCUACUUUGAAACAACACUCUUACUGGUGUUUUGGGAUUGAGGUCAUCCAGUGAGGUGCUGGCUUAGCCUGCUGGUGUGGUAUUUAGGUACAAUCUUCUUUGUUAAUGGUAGGUAAGUUGAGGAAAGUUCCGGGCAGCAUUCCUCCUGGAUGCAGAGUGUGUCUUGCUUUGAGCGCAGGACUUGGUCUGGAGAGAACCACACUCAGAUCUCGAGGACACAGCCUUUUAAUCAUCUCUUCUGGGUUUUAGAGACUCUGAGCAGAAGAGCUUGUCCUCUCAAGCAUGAGGCUAACAUGGUUGCCAGUGUCCUACACAAAUUCUCACCUCUGUAGAGAGGAGUCUUUCUUUGUCCCCAUUAAAUUUAUUGGUACAUUUAAAGCAAACAAUACAGUUACAUUUCUCAUUGGGAUCUUGUACCUUUACAUGAUAUGUCUUGAUUCUUGUUUUUCCCCAUAGCCCUGCUCUUCCUUCACCCACUUCACCCUUCCCUGUUUACAAACACUUUGUUUCCAUUUUUUUUCUUUUUUUCACAUUUUUUCUUUUCCCUUAUUUCCUUUCCCCUUCCCUUCCACUUCCCCUUUAGCCAUUUUCUUCCUAUUUCACCCU